UAGGCGGACGGGUGAGUAAUGUCUGGGAAACGUGCCUGAUGAGGGGGAGUAACUACUGGAAACGGUAGCUAAUACCGCAUAACGUCGCAAGACCAAAGAGGGGGACCUUAGGGCCUCUUGCCAUCGGAUGUGCCCAGAUGGGAUUAGCUAGUAGGUGGGGUAACGGCUCACCUAGGCGACGAUCCCUAGCUGGUCUGAGAGGAGGACCAGCCACACUGGAACUGAGACACGGUCCAG
Molecule: ribosomal RNA, 237 nt
Filed under: uncultured bacterium
Lineage: Bacteria
Description: partial 16S ribosomal RNA
Rfam family: Bacterial small subunit ribosomal RNA
Source: RNAcentral